UUUUAAAAAGAUUGAAAUUAUAUUUCUUUCGAACCUUGUUUGGUGGAACACUCGCGUGUUCUCUCGAAUCUCUCUCGAUCCCUAGCUCUGCAUUCUCCACUAAUUCUCCCAAAUGUCUCUGCAACCCUAACCUUAAGUCCUCCACUCUCUACGCACUGAUUCUCUCAAAUAUCUCUCUGCAACCCUAACAUUCAAUCUUCACUCUCCACACCUCUCCACCCUCUCCACUCUCCACGCAUUGAUCUCUUCAAUCUCUCUCGAACCCAACUUCAACACCUCCACUCUCGAUGCAUUGAAACUGCUCAUCUCUCGACAGGCACUGAAACACUCGAGCUGUUUCGUGCGAAAACCUUUCUCCUAUAAUCUCCUUGUGCCUCGUUGAGGAAUCUCGUUCAGUCACUUCGUUUCACCUCCGCGUCGUUCAGUGGCGGUCUUUCGUUAGGAGAUGCUAAGACCUUCAUCUGCCACAACCACCGCCAUCGCCACUGCCACGGCGAGGCUUGGAUAGAAUCGGAGCAACCAUAGCAGCAAUCAUGUAAGUGCAAAGCCAUAACUUCAACUUUGAUGUUUCAAUUCCACUCGCGUCAAUAUUAUUGUUAGGGUAAAUAUAUAGAACGAUGUUGUGUCGAUUUCCUUUGAUGCUAUGAUCAUUGUAUGUUUAAACAUUUUCGAAUUCUAUAUUUGAGAUUAGGACAAUGAUUAGUAGGAUAAUAGAGGUUAGAUGUAUACCAUGGGAACGUAGAUAUUUUUUCUCUAUUACAGAGUAAUAUGA
This is a non-coding RNA of Vigna umbellata (rice bean), 772 nucleotides long. Lineage: Eukaryota; Viridiplantae; Streptophyta; Magnoliopsida; Fabales; Fabaceae. The record is from RefSeq and is a predicted model, not a curated record.